Molecule: ribosomal RNA, 875 nt
Filed under: Mesorhizobium sp.
Lineage: Bacteria; Pseudomonadati; Pseudomonadota; Alphaproteobacteria; Hyphomicrobiales; Phyllobacteriaceae
Description: partial 23S ribosomal RNA
Rfam family: Bacterial large subunit ribosomal RNA
Source: RNAcentral
CCUAAGGUAGCGAAAUUCCUUGUCGGGUAAGUUCCGACCUGCACGAAUGGCGUAAUGAUGGCCAGGCUGUCUCCACCCGAGACUCAGUGAAAUUGAACUCGCUGUGAAGAUGCAGUGUACCCGCGGCAAGACGGAAAGACCCCGUGAACCUUUACUACAGCUUGACACUGAACAUUGAGCCUUGAUGUGUAGGAUAGGUGGGAGGCUUUGAAGCGCGGACGCCAGUUCGCGUGGAGCCAACCUUGAAAUACCACCCUUUAAUGUUUGAUGUUCUAACGUAGGCCCGUAAUCCGGGCUGCGGACAGUGUCUGGUGGGUAGUUUGACUGGGGCGGUCUCCUCCUAAAGAGUAACGGAGGAGCACGAAGGUCAGCUAAUCACGGUCGGACAUCGUGAGGUUAGUGCAAUGGCAUAAGCUGGCUUGACUGCGAGAGUGACGGCUCGAGCAGGUGCGAAAGCAGGUCAUAGUGAUCCGGUGGUUCUGAAUGGAAGGGCCAUCGCUCAACGGAUAAAAGGUACUCCGGGGAUAACAGGCUGAUACCGCCCAAGAGUUCAUAUCGACGGCGGUGUUUGGCACCUCGAUGUCGGCUCAUCACAUCCUGGGGCUGAAGUAGGUCCCAAGGGUACGGCUGUUCGCCGUUUAAAGUGGUACGCGAGCUGGGUUUAGAACGUCGUGAGACAGUUCGGUCCCUAUCUGCCGUGGGCGCUGGAGAAUUGAGGGGGGUUGCUCCUAGUACGAGAGGACCGGAGUGAACGCACCACUGGUGUUCGGGUUGUCAUGCCAAUGGCAUUGCCCGGUAGCUAAGUGCGGAAAAGAUAAGUGCUGAAAGCAUCUAAGCACGAAACUUGCCCCGAGAUGAGUUCUCCCUGACUCCUU